Long non-coding RNA from Rosa chinensis, 1571 nucleotides. RefSeq lists it as uncharacterized. The record is from RefSeq and is a predicted model, not a curated record. Lineage: Eukaryota; Viridiplantae; Streptophyta; Magnoliopsida; Rosales; Rosaceae. The transcript is spliced from 4 exons.
UCUAUAGGCAAGGACUUCCAGUUAAUUCCUUGCCCAACUGUUCGAGUCCUUGCCCAACCCUUCACUAUUAACUCCUCUGGUCUAUCACUUGGCUAUUAGAGAAAAUCUCUCUUAUGACUCUAGGAUGAAGAAGACCCCAGAUCCCUAAGUACCCCAACCGCACAUGUCUACCUUCUUAGUGCGGAUCUGGUACUACACAUGAAUAUCCAUUCCCAAACUGAAGCUAAUUUCUCGAUUUCAUGCCUCGUUGUUGUCAUCGCCACCUUCAUCCGGUCUUUUGCUCCCGCAAACUUUUAAGAGACGAUGAAGAAGAACCCAAUACACAAAAGGCCUUUACCUUUUCGCUCCCAUUUCUUUGUUUUUUGAGUAUGCAAUUUUUGUUCCAAUUGAUCAAUCCCUGUUUCAAAGUUCAAUUCUUUACCUUACCCUACUUGGGGUUGAACUCUACUUGGGGUUGAAAUUUCUUUAAUUUUUUAUGUUUGUUGAACUGAACAUUUCCUUUGUUACUGGUACUUGCUUCUAGGUCUUAGUUUUUUUCACUUUCUGAAAGUUCAAAUCAUUGUGGGUUUUUCUGAAACAAAAACUUCAAUCGAUACUUAGUGUUGGGUGUACUUUGUUUUUCCCAUUUCUUCUAUCCAAAUUGUAAUCAAGUGUGUUUUUUUUAUUUGCUGUUUCGUCCCUCCACAAUUUCAAUGUAUAUCGAUAUAUGCAUCGUUAUUUAUUUUAGCUUGAUUUCCUAUAGACAUGAAGUGGGUCUGGCUUGUUUUGCUUUAGCAAUGGUUCUUUUACUUGUUUAAUUUGUUUGCACUUCAACCACUUUAUGAAUUUUGCUCGUUAAGGAAAUAAUACUUAGCCUAGUUUCCUCGGAUUUAAAAUAAAUGUUAUGAGUUCACCAAAAAAAAAGAAAAAAAAAUGUUUUGAGCUAAAAACAGAAACCUCAUUUGUCUACGGAGAAUGUAUGCACAACCGAAUGCUUUUUUGGGUAGGCUGAUGUCCCUACAAUGGGUUGGGAAAUUGAAAAAUAGCAAAGCGGGCAAUGAAGUUGUAAACUUUUUACAUAUCUAUUUGGUGGUGUAGGUAAAAUAUUGGUGGAUGGGAAGGUGGUCAACAAAGCAUGUACUCUAGUAUCUGAUAAAUCUGUUGUAAAGAAUAUGGCUGAAGUCCCCAAAUAUGUAUCUAGCAGGACAUAAGUUAGAAGAUGCCAUACAUUGAAUAGCUAGGUAUGAAUAUUACUGGCAAAGUAGCUAUUGAUUCAGGGUUGUCAACUGGUGGAUUUACCGAUUGUUUACUUCAGUAUGGUGCAUCAUUUGUUUAUGGAGUUGAUGUUGGAUAUGGCCAGGUUGUCGGUGUUUCUAUUUUUGUUGGGACUUGGUAUAUUUGUUUGUUCUUUUGCUUAAGAUUACAUCAGUAAAAGACAUACAGUAUUUUGCAUCUUCUAUUAGUAAAUUACUCUUAGUCUAGGCUUGCUUUGAUUUUGCUAAUCUUGUUAUUGAUUAGAGUUUACUCGAUUUUUGAUGUACAAACGAACUACUUGUUUUUAAUUAGAGGAAUUAAAAAAAUCUGGAAUGACA